GUUGUACAUUUAUUGGCACCUAAAUCUAGCAUGCUUAUAGUUAUAGCACAAAAAAAACCCCCAAAUAAUACCAAAUUUACAGCAAGAACUGUAAAAGACAUAAUAAACCCUUUGUCUGAUUUGUUAGAAAUCUUAUGUUACACUUGAAAAGCUGGUUUUGAAAAACUUUCAACUUAAAGGAUUUCAUGUAUCUAUGUGUAUUCAUAUAUAUUUUGUACAUACAUAUAUCCGUUAAUGUUUCAUGACCCUCUAACAUUUGUGUUCCAUUCUUUUAAGUGGUAUAAUUUGGCCCCAAAGAAGAAAUAUUUCAUUUAGUUCAAAUUUUGCAUUUGGUGUCUUAGAACAGAUUUCCUGUGCAAGAUAUAGUUAAAAUGGAAUGAGUCAGUCAUAAACCAUAGUCACAUUUUCUAAGAGAUUUUUAAAAUAUUCAUUUGCAUUAUUGCAUUUAAUGUAAAAUAAUUUUCAGAUAUACAACUGUUACAAAUAUAUGCCAGCAAUAUUCACGCUUUAUCCUUUAACAACUUUUUGUUUUUAUACUUCCUAACUUCCAUUUUAAAAAGUUCUUUCAUUUAUGGACAAGCUAGUUAGGGUGAAAAUACUUGUUUUCUAUAAUAAAACAAUUUGAUGUUAUCUAUG
Molecule: long non-coding RNA, 636 nt
Filed under: Bos taurus (domestic cattle)
Lineage: Eukaryota; Metazoa; Chordata; Mammalia; Artiodactyla; Bovidae
Description: long non-coding RNA NONBTAT011442
Source: RNAcentral